UCGAGCGUCAUUACAACCCUCAAGCUCUGCUUGGUAUUGGGCCCUGCCAGCCCUGGCAGGCCUUAAAAUCAGUGGCGGUGCCAUUUGGCUUCAAGCGUAGUAAUUCUUCUCGCUUCUGGAGACCAGGUGUACACUUGCCAACAACCCCCAAUUUAUCAAUGGUUGACCUCGGAUCAGGUAGGGAUACCCGCUGAACUUAA
This 200-nucleotide unclassified non-coding RNA is filed under the name soil metagenome. Its description in RNAcentral is "partial contains internal transcribed spacer 2 and large subunit ribosomal RNA". The record is from RNAcentral.